RNAcentral lists this ribosomal RNA (460 nucleotides) under uncultured bacterium. Its description in RNAcentral is "partial 16S ribosomal RNA". It matches the Rfam family "Bacterial small subunit ribosomal RNA", at positions 338 to 795 of the family's 1533-position model. The record is from RNAcentral.
CCUACGGGAGGCAGCAGUGAGGAAUAUUGGCCAAUGGCCGGAAGGCUGAACCAGCCAUGCCGCGUGAAGGUCAGUGCCCUAUGGGCGUUAAACUUCUUUUGUGCGGGAGCAAUAAUGGUCACGUGUGGCCAGACGAGAGUACCGUACGAAUAAGCAUCGGCUAACUCCGUGCCAGCAGCCGCGGUAAUACGGGGGAUGCAAGGGUUAUCCGGAUUUAUUGGGUUUAAAGGGUGCGUAGGCUGUGAGGUAAGUCAGCGGUGAAAUGCCUCCGCUCAACGGGGUGAAGUGCCAUUGAUACUGCCUGGCUGGAAUGCGGAUGCGGUGGGAGGAAUGUGUGGUGUAGCGGUGAAAUGCAUAGAUAUCACACAGAACACCGAUUGCGAAGGCAUCUCACGAAUCCGCGAUUGACGCUGAUGCACGAAAGCGUGGGUAUCAAACAGGAUUAGAUACCCGGGUAGUC